GACAUAUUUAUUGUACAAAGACUUCUUCCAAUUCUGGAAGAGUACUGCCAUCUUCUUCAUAGUCCAGUCAUAAAUUCGCACCUUCAACUCUUCAUCGUUGGUGUCGAAGGUGAAAACGUCUGUGACGGCUUUCCAAACUAACUCCUUGUCACGAUCAGAGACAAAACUGAUCUCAGGAGCACCUCGCUUCUCUCUCCAUUCACGACAACUGAUCGGUAUUUGAUCUCUCACAAGAUAUCCACAGUGACUAACAUAUUUGUUUGCAUGCUCACCAAGUGGUCUACCUGUAGCUAUCUCAAACUCAGAGAUUACAUAGCGGCCCUCCAACGGCUUCUUUGGCCCUCGUGGAGGUACGCUUCUCCCCGUAGAGGUCGAUCCAGAAGGCUACACGUACAUAUAGAAACAAAAAUACUAAAUUAAUAACCAAGUAAUAAGUCUAGAACCUAAUGUAAGAGAUGCAUUAAUUAUAUAUGUUUACAUUUACAUACCUCGCCAGUAUUUUCUUCUUGUUGCACGACAAGUUGUUGCUCAGGGGCAUUGCCCUCUUGUUGCUCAGUAGGAUUGCCUUGCAUGAUGUCGUGGUAAUCAACAAAGUACUGACUACCGUCGUCGAUCAUAUUUAAAAUGGCAUCUUCCAUAUAAUCAGGAUCAUCAUGAUGACGGUCAGCCAUUUCUAUGUCUGCAACCAUACAUAUAUAUAUAUAUAUUCUAUGUAAGACAAUACUACUACAAAUGAAAGUGUUGGAGUGCUCUAAAAAUAAUACUAGGAUCUUUUAAGCCAAGUAAUACAUUAGAAUAAAAAACAAUACUAGAAUAAUAUAUAGUACAAACAAAAAUAUAUACAAAACCCUACUAGAAUAAAUUUGGUGGCUAAACACUACUAGAACAUAUAUGUAACACCCUAAAAUGUGUUUUCUGGGAAAUAGAGCUAAAAUGAUUUAUUUAUGAAUUUUUGUACUCAUGAAACAUAGGGGAAUAAUAUUUUUCAUUAAAAUUUAUCAUAAGUUUAGCAACUUGUUUGAGCACUCAUGUUGGAGCAUUUAUUUUCAUUUUAUUGUGUGAUUUUGAGCAAAGUCAAAAUAUUUUUAAAUUGUUUUGAAACUGCUUUGAAAAGACUUUGAAAUAAAAAAAAGAAAGGAAACAAAAAGGAAACAAACAAAAGAAAGAAAAAAAGGAAAAAAAAACCUUCCCCCUCUCCAUCUUUGGCCCCAAGGCCUGGCCCCUCCCUUCCCUCGGCCUCGGCCCAACCCAGCGCGCCACUCUUUUCCUCUUCCCCUCUCUCGGCCUGGUGGCCCAGCAGAGCAAGCAGGCCGGCCCGAAUCCUGGCCUGGUCGGGCGCACCUCCCUCUCCCUCAGUUUUCUCUCCUCUUUGGCUGACGAGCCGGACCCGCACUAUGAGUCACUGACUGGUGGGACCCGCAUGUCAGCUGGCUUCUUCAACCUCAAGCCGUAACCGGCUUGGACUCUGCUCCACCGAAAUCUUCCCCGAUUUCUCGGGAUUUCCUGCCCUGCGUGCGCGAUUGACCCCCUUAAAAGCCUUGGCAUCCCCCCUGCAAUCUUCUUUCGCAUCUAGCACAAUCGAGGAGUUCCUAUCGCCCUGUCCCGCCACCGUUUAGAUCUCGCCGAGGCGCUAGUUACGGCCGCCGUCGUGACCCUCCUCGUCUGCUGUGUCCCGAGCACCGAAAAUCGUGUGCCGCGUUUCGGUUGGAGGUGGUGAGCCUCCCUGCACUUCCCAAUUUCGGUUAUUUUCUCUCCUUGUCGCUCUAAUCCUCGCCGAACGCUGCAGAGCUCCACCGGUCCGCCAAUCCGCGCGGCUGUCCUCCUUCAAGCUUGCUCCGAGCCUUGAAACCCCUCAGGUUAGUUCGCUUGAGUCCACUCUUCGUCCCCAUGCCCUCGGUUCUGUUUUAGUGGACCCUAGCGCUUAGUUCGCGAGCUCCGGCGAGGUUUGCUUGCCUCCGGCCAUGGCGCCGCCGGCCGGGGCUACUGUUGUUGGCCGGCGCCCUCUCCCUCUCCUCCCCAGCUUCUAAUCUUGACCCUUCAUCUUAGAUCCAAUGGACCGCGUUAGUCCAUACCCCUUCGGCUGACAAACUUUCUAAAGAGCCCCUGGUGUUUUUCAAAAUAGAACCCGCAGUCCAAAGCACGUUUUCUGAAAUGCGCUUUCUGAGUUGGAAGACGUAAAGUCUGCCGGCUUGUUUCGAAAAUACGUUUUCAGUAUUUACUAAAAUGCCAUUGAACUUGUUUUGGCUAUAAAGUAUUCAUUUUAACUCCGUUUUUGUCCAUUCAAAUUUCGUU
This 2292-nucleotide long non-coding RNA is filed under the name Sorghum bicolor (sorghum). RNAcentral's name for it is "long non-coding RNA (SBIC_LNC015268)". Lineage: Eukaryota; Viridiplantae; Streptophyta; Magnoliopsida; Poales; Poaceae. The record is from RNAcentral.